Molecule: ribosomal RNA, 301 nt
Filed under: uncultured bacterium
Lineage: Bacteria
Description: partial 16S ribosomal RNA
Rfam family: Bacterial small subunit ribosomal RNA
Source: RNAcentral
CAGUAGCCGCGGUAAUACGGAGGGUGCAAGCGUUAAUCGGAAUUACUGGGCGUAAAGCGCACGCAGGCGGUCUGACAAGUCAGAUGUGAAAUCCCCGGGCUUAACCUGGGAACUGCAUUUGAAACUGUCAGGCUGGAGUCUUGUAGAGGGGGGUAGAAUUCCAGGUGUAGCGGUGAAAUGCGUAGAGAUCUGGAGGAAUACCGGUGGCGAAGGCGGCCCCCUGGACAAAGACUGACGCUCAGGUGCGAAAGCGUGGGGAGCAAACAGGAUUAGAUACCCGAGUAGUCCCUGUCUCUUAUAC